Bradyrhizobium sp. is the source of this 67-nucleotide non-coding RNA. NCBI's taxonomy places the organism in Bacteria, Pseudomonadati, Pseudomonadota, Alphaproteobacteria, Hyphomicrobiales, Nitrobacteraceae. The record is from Rfam.
GGCGCGGCUAGGGUAGCUCCCGAAAAGCUGGCCCGCACCAGCCUGCCGCGUCGUCCUUUGCGGAAUG